RNAcentral lists this ribosomal RNA (639 nucleotides) under Inocybe substraminea. RNAcentral describes it as "eukaryotic LSU rRNA". The stretch from base 260 to 413 matches the Rfam family "5.8S ribosomal RNA". The record is from RNAcentral. Lineage: Eukaryota; Fungi; Basidiomycota; Agaricomycetes; Agaricales; Inocybaceae.
CAUUAUUGAAUAAACUUGAGCAGGCUGUUGCUGGCCCUUUGUGGGUAUGUGCACGUUUGUCAUCUUUAUUUCUCCAAACUGUGCACAUAUUGUAGACCUGGGAGUUGUUUUUGAUUAUUCUUUCGAGUUGGGACUGCUGUGCUUUUCAAAGUCGGCUGUUCCUUUGCACUUUUCAGGUCUAUGUCAUUUUUCACAAACCUUUGAAUUUGUUUAGAAUGUUGAAUCAGGUCCUUUUUGGACCUAUAAAAGUUAUAUAUACAACUUUCAGCAACGGAUCUCUUGGCUCUCGCAUCGAUGAAGAACGCAGCGAAAUGCGAUAAGUAAUGUGAAUUGCAGAAUUCAGUGAAUCAUCGAAUCUUUGAACGCACCUUGCGCUCCUUGGUAUUCCGAGGAGCAUGCCUGUUUGAGUGUCAUUUAAAUUCUCAACCACACUGAUUCUUUUCUGGUGUGGCUUGGAUGUGGGGGUUGUUUUCUUGCAGGCUUUUGAGAUGAAAGUCGGCUCCCCUGAAAUGCAUUAGUGGUAUCCGAGCAGAGAACUACUACAGGUGUGAUAAUCUAUCUAUGCCUUUUAGUAUGCUGCAUUAAUGGACCGCACUGCUUCUAACAAGUGAAACUCUCUUUGAUGAGAGGGGGCCACAA